Molecule: ribosomal RNA, 1400 nt
Filed under: uncultured bacterium
Lineage: Bacteria
Description: 16S ribosomal RNA
Rfam family: Bacterial small subunit ribosomal RNA
Source: RNAcentral
UUCGCCCUUAGAGUUUGAUCCUGGCUCAGGACGAACGCUGGCGGCGUGCUUAACACAUGCAAGUCGAACGGAGCGCCUAUGAAGGAGAUUUCGGUCAACGGAAUAGGUUGCUUAGUGGCGGACGGGUGAGUAACGCGUGAGGAACCUGCCUUUCAGAGGGGGACAACAGUUGGAAACGACUGCUAAUACCGCAUAACACAUAGGUGUCGCAUGGCAUUUAUGUCAAAGAUUUAUCGCUGAAAGAUGGCCUCGCGUCUGAUUAGCUAGUUGGUGAGGUAACGGCUCACCAAGGCGACGAUCAGUAGCCGGACUGAGAGGUUGGCCGGCCACAUUGGGACUGAGAUACGGCCCAGACUCCUACGGGAGGCAGCAGUGGGAAUAUUGGGCAAUGGGCGCAAGCCUGACCCAGCAACGCCGCGUGAAGGAAGAAGGCUUUCGGGUUGUAAACUUCCUUUGACAGGGAAGAGUAGAAGACGGUACCUGUCGAAUAAGCCACGGCUAACUACGUGCCAGCAGCCGCGGUAAUACGUAGGUGGCAAGCGUUGUCCGGAUUUACUGGGUGUAAAGGGCGUGUAGCCGGGUUGACAAGUCAGAUGUGAAAUCCUGCGGCUUAACCGCAGAACUGCAUUUGAAACUGUUGAUCUUGAGUACUGGAGAGGCAGACGGAAUUCCUAGUGUAGCGGUGAAAUGCGUAGAUAUUAGGAGGAAACACCAGUGGGGGAAGGCGGUCUGCUGGACAGCAACUGACGGUGAGGCGGGAAAGCGGGGGGAGCAAACAGGAUUAGAUACCCUGGUAGUCCACGCUGUAAACGAUGGAUACUAGGUGUGCGGGGACUGACCCCCUGCGUGCCGCAGCUAACGCGAUAAGUAUCCCACCUGGGGAGUACGAUCGCAAGGUUGAAACUCAAAGGAAUUGACGGGGGCCCGCACAAGCGGUGGAUUAUGUGGUUUAAUUCGAUGCAACGCGAAGAACCUUACCAGGGCUUGACAUCCUACUAACGAAGUAGAGAUACAUUAGGUACCCUUCGGGGGAAGUAGAGACAGGUGGUGCAUGGUUGUCGUCAGCUCGUGUCGUGAGAUGUUGGGUUAAGUCCCGCAACGAGCGCAACCCUUAUUGUUAGUUGCUACGCAAGAGCACUCUAGCGAGACUGCCGUUGACAAAACGGAGGAAGGUGGGGACGACGUCAAAUCAUCAUGCCCCUUAUGUCCUGGGCUACACACGUAAUACAAUGGCGGCCAACAGAGGGAUGCAAAGCUGUGAAGUGGAGCGAACCCCUAAAAGCCGUCCCAGUUCAGAUUGCAGUCUGCAACUCGACUGCAUGAAGUCGGAAUCGCUAGUAAUCGCGGAUCAGCAUGCCGCGGUGAAUACGAUACCCGGGCCUUGCACUCACCGCCCGUCA